This is a long non-coding RNA of Photinus pyralis (common eastern firefly), 3986 nucleotides long. RefSeq lists it as uncharacterized. The transcript has 13 exons. Lineage: Eukaryota; Metazoa; Arthropoda; Insecta; Coleoptera; Lampyridae. The record is from RefSeq and is a predicted model, not a curated record.
CGACAGCAUCCUGAAAAACGGUCCGCAUUGCUAUCCCAUGAGGUGAUGGAACAUUUACGUACCUAAAACGAAACUUGCGAGUGCAUUAUGGUCAAGAUGGCGUCCAUGACAAGCGGGUUUGUUACCUAGGUAUACCUACCUGAUGCAAUCGACUUAGACGUUUGGGAAAAUUGACCAGCGCCAUCCUGAACAAUGAACAUUGAACUUGGGAGUCGUUCAUGGACAACGUCCGCCAUCUUUUCCAGUCUGCGUUACCUACCUAUCUGAUGCAAUCGGAUUAAAUGCGUUUGGGCCGGACUUAUAAUUAGAAAAUUUACAACAUUCCUGCAUCAGAAUAUGGACAUCAAAACGAGCCGUUAAUGGCCAACGUUCGCCAUCCAGUCCCAGUCCAGUCAGCAAGUGCUGAAAUCGGAUUAAACGUUGAGGGCUGGACUAAUUUUGAUGCUGUGUCAAAGAAAUCGAUCCAAGGAGAACCUACGCUGACAAAGAGCUGGCCUUCCCGUACUCCCAAUGUGCUCGUGAACUCCACUUCAUUGUGCCAGCCUAUGCAUGAAAGUCCAAAUGGUAAUCUUGCAUCAAGAAGUUUAAGGAGAAAAUUCAACUAAAGCCGGUCUACGCAGUCCUACGAGUGCCAGUCAUUACGAUCUUGCCGUUCCAUUAUCGCAUCAAAGAGUACUCUGGGUUAUACUCUUUGAUUGUCAUGCAGGGAGUUAGAAAAUCAACAGCAGCGCGGGAGGUUAUUCUUAUUUGAUGGAAGAUGUCUGGAAAGUUUUACAGAAGACAAGUGCGCCAAAUCGGAGUCGUUUCUCGUUUACCAGUGGUCGGCCAUCUUGCAGUCUUUUAGCGUUACCUGAUGCAAUCGGAUUUAACGUACGUUUUAGCUUCGUGUAAUUGGAAGCUGCCAUUGUUAAGACAAUCCUGCUGAAAGUGAAUCCCGAAGGUUUGCCAACAAAUCCUACGGAAGAGUGCAAUCGGACCCUUGGCAGCCGUUUUCUCGGGUCUGCCGUUGCCAUCACGUUACCAACGAACUAUAAAGGGCUGGACCGAUUUGGAUACUGUGUCAAAGAAAUCGAUCCAUGGAGACUUGAAGCUGCUAACGACCUAGCCGUCCCAAUAUUCAUCAUGUGCAUGUGAACUCCGCUUAAUCCCACCAGCCGGUGCAUGAAAGGUGGAUCAAUUUGGAUGCUGUACCAAAGUAAAUACUUGAUCCAAGAAACUGCGGAAAAGCUAGUAUUCCAAAUAUUGGCAGUGUGGACACGACACCAUGUUCCAUCGAGAUCGAAAGGUGAAUCAAUUUCGAUGUCGUGUCAAAGAAAAAUAUACCAGUUGAUGAAAACCUUCCAAUAUCGACUGCGAGAAUAAUCAUACAAUACACAACUCCAUCCCUUCAGCCUGUGCAUGAAAGAUUCCAGAACAGCCUCUCUUUUAUGGCAGGUCUGCAAUUUGCAAAGUGAGACAGCUUUGCAUUCGGCUGGUUUCCCAUAAUCUUUGUUGAUAUUAUCCAGCCAUUAUGCAGUGCAUCGUUCUUCCUACUGAUGGUGAUUACGCUUCCCAGACAAAGCCGGAAUCAAUAAGGCUUCGGAUAUCAGAAGAGCAGCCUUAUUAAGGUAGGAUUUUUUUUCUUUUGCAUGGUGUAUUGCAUGUCAUAUUUUGUGUAAAGGGGGGAAAAGUGAAUAGUGCAUAUAGUGACUAAGAAGAAGAUCGUCAACUGUAUUGAGCUAACCGAGAGAGUAGUAAGUGAGUUGUGACUAUCUUCUCAAUCUAUCAUCUUGGCGAUGUAAGAUUGACCUCAAUGAUUCUUAAAGUAGACCCUUUCGAAGUCUGCGUCAGUUUGCGUUAUAUUAACAAGUGACUAUGUAUUCAUAGCCACAGUAAUGAUAAGACGUAAACUGACUGGUCGACGAACGAGACUAUGGAGAAGUAUUGUAGUCAAUUCUUUCGUUUCCAAGUGCCAUGGAUUUGACGAUUGUUAUACCUCAUUUAUUAUUACAUGAAGUAAUACUUUUUAAAAAGAGGGUGAGUAGUUGACUUAAUAAAUAGUAUGUUCGUUUAUUGUUACCGGCGUGUGAUGCCAUAAGAUCAUAUUACACUUCUUUAAUAAACGAGCACACUUUUACAAUAAAUUAUUACAUUGUGUGUUUAUGUUGUUUUAAUAAUUUCAUUGGUUAUUCACAGGACCAAGUGAUCGGUCUACUGCCAGUAUCAGUUCUACACCAGCAACUCCGGUAGUGGAUCUUGAUUCAAGAUUAUCGUCGUCCCUGUUGAAUAAUUGUAUGGAUAUUGAAUAUGAGAGAGAUUCGAGAAGGGCAGCUAUAAAAGGUAGGAUUUUUCUUUUAUUAAUUUUAAGCAGUGGGGGAAAAGUGAAUAGUGUCUGGAGAUAUUUUCAACUGAUCUUUGCACAUCGUAAGUACAGUUUAGUUGUCUUCUUAUCUUGGUGACAUAAGAUUGAUUGCAAUGAUUCUUCAAAGGUCUCUUUGGCGGAUUCAAUCAAUUUGCAUCAUAUUAAUUUGUAGAAGUAUGAAUUCAUAAUUGUACUUUUUUUAUGAAGCAAAAUGAUUGUCUUUGCGAACAAACCUGUGCAGACACAUUGGAAUCAUGUCUUCCGUUCCCAAGUUGAGUGAUAGUCAACGCCCAAUUCUUAAAACAAUUAUUUUCGUUUUUUCUUAUGAUUAUGCAAUAAUAUAUACCUAAUACAUUUUCCUUACAGUACACCAUUUUGGAAGCAGUUCGUUUGACAGGGGUUUCCAAGGCGUAUGUCAGGUGGAACCUUAGUUAGAAGUAGUACUGUUGUAAAUUAAAGCUCAUUUCAUGAGGUGUUAUAACCCUUUCGUGUAGUGUUGUUUUUUUGUUAUAAUCAUGAUUGUGAUUAAAAAAAUUAAACAUUCCGAAGCGAGAGGAUGAGGGUGGCUGUAAGGGGUGGUAAAGGAGGCCACUAAAAGGGAUAUAGCACCUACAUGUAAUUUGCCUUAUUUAGAUAGGUAUGUACUUACUUCCGCUACCCAUUCAUCUUUGCUUCUUCAUUGCGUCAGAAUAAAUAUCUCCCGUUUAAAUAUUUCUUGUCCUUUUACCUUUUCUUGGUUUUAGUAAUCGCUAAUGCAUCCAAAUCUUCUUUUUUUAAUUCCUUGCUUUUUCCAGUUUGUUCCUCAUAUUUUUCACCUUUUUGUAUUUGAGUGCCAGUUACUUUGCCCUUUUCGCUUGGUGUGUUCCGUAAGUUUUUGAAUGUUUUUCAUUUCUUUUUUUGAGGCAACAAUUACUGGCUGAUCGAUCUAUUUGUACGAUUUCCAUAUAUUGUGUUCUUUUUUAAUGUGCGUUCUUGUGUGUAUACAUAGUUGCUUGUGGCCUGUCCAAAUUGGUAACGUCUCAAAUAAGGGAUGCAUUUAUCAUUGCAUUAUUUUGUAUCCUACUUUUACUCGUAUUUUCUUUUUCAGUUUUCGCAAUUUCUGUGUACUGUUUUUGUAUAUUCAUUUUUUGUUUUGUCCAUUGUCUAUAAACAUAUUUAGAGGUGUAUUCCAUUUCAACUGUGUUCUGGACCCAGUAUGCUAUUUUGUCUAUUGUCUUUUUAAAUCUCAAGAGCUUCCAUAAUUUAAAUUUCUAGUUUUAUCUGCUUUGGUAUCAACUUUAUUUGUGCCAUUCUGGUUUCCUUUGUCUUCAAGUUUUAUGGACUUUAUCUUCUGAUUUUUUUAAAUGUCUUCCUUUGGGUGCUGCACACACUUCAAAUAUCUCCUUCAUUUAAUCUACAAUUUAUCAAAAAGUUCCAUAUUGUUUUCGUUGUACUAGUAAUCUUCUUUUUUUAGCAUACGCCCCUCUUCUGGUGUUUUCCGUUGUAGUAGUUCGGCAGUUAUUUUGGCUAGGUACCCCCAUCAUUUUUUAUCGUAAGCUUCUGUACUUUCUAUUUUAUGAUUUCCGAUGUGAUAUAAACGUUUCCUAUUCACCUUUGUUUCCAGCACUUACUUGAUCUCUUUUAAUAUGCUAUUUUUUCUUACAUA